Ictalurus punctatus (channel catfish) is the source of this 887-nucleotide long non-coding RNA. NCBI's taxonomy places the organism in Eukaryota, Metazoa, Chordata, Actinopteri, Siluriformes, Ictaluridae. The record is from Ensembl.
ACACACUGCACCUCGGAGCUUCAGUCUGUUCACAGGGUGUAAAGUUUGCUUGGGUUCAUCUUUAACUCUUACAUUCAGUCGUGAUGGAGAAUACCGGGUUCAUCUGUCUCCUGCUGUGUGUGAGCGUACACACGGCCAACAGCGAAACAUUUUGUCCAGAGAAAAACAUCUGUAUGCUUAAAUGUGGAGAGACUAACGGUAACGUGACCUGGAGCAGAGAUGUGGGUGGAAAAAGGGAGAAGAUUCUCAGCGUCUACAAGGACACGGUUAUCAAACACAUCACUGAUCCAGACAGACGUUACAGCUCAGGAAGACGUCUGAUUCUGAGUAUAUUUAAUGUCUCGUUCUCAGACUCUGGUCGAUAUUACUGUAAUGAGAACGCAGUGGAGGUCAGUGUGACAUCAAAGACUCUGAAAAUCAUGAAAACGGGGGAUUGGUUGACGGUAACAGCUUUAGUAGCCGGGGGUUGUGCGCUUGUUUUAGUGUCACUUCUGGUUCUGUGGAGGUGUUUCUCCAAAAGGAAAGGUAGCACCGCCAAAGUACAGCACGAUUCAGCUGAAAAAGAAUCUUUGGAUGAGAUACAUGUUUAUGAGUCAAUUUACGAGACUCCCUCAGCUCCUCAACCAGCAGCUCCACAGCAGAUCCCAAAAGAUGGAUUUUACUAUCUGGCUACACAUCCAGGAAUCCAGAACAGGCAUUAAAACACACACACACACACACACACACACACACACACACACACACACACACACACACACACACACAAAUACACAACAUGUCAACAUGUGGAUCUUCCUUCAAAGAGUGUGAAGGUAAAGGCAGUUUCUGAAUAGAAGUGUGGGCUGUAGGAGUUGGGGGUGGGGUGGGACUACUGAUUGACUGAGUUG